CCGACCCUAGGUCAGGAAGGAUUAACCGUUGAGUUUAAGCAUAUCAAUAAGAGGAGGAAAAGAAACAUACAAGGAUUUUCUUAGUAACAGCGAGCAAACCGGGAACAACCUAGCCUUAGAAUCGGGUGGCUUCGUUAUCUAAAUUAUAGUCAUAAGAAUCAUCCUUAGCGGCGGACCAGGCCUAAGUCCCCUAGAAGGGGGCGCUAGAGAGGGUGACAUCCCUGUUGUGCCCAAGCCUGUCACAACACGAGACGCUGUCUACGAGUCAGGUUGUUCAGAAAUGCAGCCCAAAUUGGGUGGUGAAUUCCAUCUAAGACUAAAUACGGGAGAGAGAUCAAUAUCGAAUAAGUUCUGCGAGGGAAAGAUGAAAAGGACUUUGAAAAGAGAGUUAAAAAGUGCUUGAAAUUAUCGGGAGAAAAGAGGAUGGUUGCUGGUGAUGCACCUCGAUCAAAUAUGGAAUGAAGACGAGCUAGUCUGUCGAUCUACUUGAGGCGUGGAUCAGCAUGGAUUGGUGGGCAGACCAGGCUCUCGAUACGCUCGUGGAAUAUCGCCUCCUCGAUUGUGGCAGGGAGAGCGUGCCUUUGGAGUGAUUCGGUAUCUAUGUGCUCUGGACGCGGGCCUGUGGGCUCCCUAUUUGACCCUUCUUGAAACACAAAUCAAGGAGUCUAACAUAUGUGCGAGUCAAUGAGUGAGUAAACCCAUAAGGUGUAAGAAAGCUAAUUGGUGGGAUCCCCCUUGAGGGGUGCACCGCCGACCGAUCUUGAUCUUUUGAGAAGGGUUCGAGUGUGAUCAUACCUAUUGAGACACGAAAUAUAGUGAUCUAUGCCUGAGCAGGGCGAAGCCAUAGAAACUCUGGUGGAGACCCGUGAUACUGAUGUGUAAAUCGUUCAUCUAACUUGGGUGUAGGGGAUAAAUACCAAUCAAACCAUCUAGUAUUAGGUUUCCUCCAAGGUUUCCCUCAGGAUAGUUGGAGCUUCUGUACAAGUUCUAUCUGGUAAAGCCAAUGAUUAGGGGCCUCGGGGGUGCAACGCCCUCAACCUAUUCUCAAACUUUUAAUAGGUAAGAUGGCACGACUGCUUUGUUGAGCCACACCACAGAAUCAAGAGCUCCAAGUAGGCCAUUUUUAGUAAGCAGAACUGACUAUACGAGAUGAACUGGAAUUCGGGUUACAGUGCCAAACUGUUCACUAACCUAGAUCUCACAAAGGGUGUUGGUCGAUUAAGACAGCUGGAAAUGUGUAACAACUUACCUACCAAAUCAACUAGCCCAAAAAAUGGAUGGCACUUAAGCGCACGACCUACACCUGGCCGUCAGGGCAAGUGCAAGGCCCCAAUGAGUAGGAGGAAGCGGUGGUCUCUACAAAACCUUGGGCGUGAGCCUCUGUGGAGCUGUUGUCGGUGCAGAUCUUAGUGGUAGUAGCAAAUAUUUAAAUUAGAACUUUGAAGGCCUAAUAAAAGAAAGAUUCCAUGUGAACGACACUUGCACAUGGGUUAGUCGAUCCUAAAGGUCGGGGGUUCCCCGAUAGAUAAUGCAUUUCUCGCGUACUUCAAAAGAGAAUCGGGUUAAAAUUCCUUAAUUAGGAUAUGGCGGUCAACGACAAUGUUAGAAAGUUUUGAGAUAUCGGCAGGAGCCUCAGAAAGAGUUACCUUUUCUGCUUAAUAGCCUGGCCAUCCUAUAAUUGGCUCAGUCGGAGGUAGGGUCCAGCAGUUGGAAGAGCACUGCACGUUGCGUGGUGUCUGAUGCACUCCCAGUGGCACUUGAAAACUAGAGGAUCGAAUGCCGUCCAUGCCUGGUUGUACUCAUAACCGCAUCAGGUCUCCAUUAUGAACAUCCUCUAAUCGAUGGAACAAUGUAGACAAGUGAAGUUGGUAAAAUGGAUCUGUAACUUCGGAAAAAGGAUUGGCUUUGAAGUCCGGGAAUGGGGGUCCCAGCCUCUAACUCAUUGGUUGUCUAUGGACUGCUCGAGAUGCUCUCAUGGCGAGAGCAGGUCACCACAGCCAGUCGGGGGAUGGACUGAGAACAGUUCCUUUGGGGGCCUUCCCCGCGCAUCAAACAACCAACUCUUAACUGGUACGGUCAUAGGGAAUCUGACUGUUUAUUUAAAACAAAGCAUUGCGAUGGACCCAAUGGAUGUUCACACAAUAUGAUUUUAUCCCAAUGCUCUGAAUGUCAAACUGAAGAAAUUCAACCAAGCGUGGGUAAACAGAGUAACUAUGACUCUCUUAAGGUAUCCAAAUGCCUUGUCAUCUAAUUAGUGAUGCGCAUGAAUGGAUUAAUAAGAUUUCCACUGUCCCUAUCUAUUAUCCAUAAAAUCACCGUUAAAGGAGCUGACUUGGCAGAAAUCAACGGGGAAAGAAAACCCUGUUAAGCUUGACUCUAGUCCGACUUUGUGAAAUGACUUGAGAGGUGUAGUAUAAGUGGGAGUCGAAAGGCAAAAUUUAAAUACCACUAUUUUAAAGUUAUUUUACUUAUUUCGUGAAUCAGAAGUGGGGCAUUGCCCCUCUUUUU
RNAcentral lists this ribosomal RNA (2508 nucleotides) under Capsicum annuum. RNAcentral's name for it is "eukaryotic LSU rRNA". It matches the Rfam family "Eukaryotic large subunit ribosomal RNA", at positions 1 to 2561 of the family's 3401-position model. The record is from RNAcentral. Lineage: Eukaryota; Viridiplantae; Streptophyta; Magnoliopsida; Solanales; Solanaceae.